GCCCUCAUGGUCUAGCUGGCUAUGAUACGGGUCUCAUACACUGCGGGGCACCUGCAGCCAUCCCGGGGUCGUGAGUUCGAGCCUCACUGAGGGCA
Pneumocystis sp. 'macacae' is the source of this 95-nucleotide non-coding RNA. The record is from the annotation of a GenBank genome assembly. NCBI's taxonomy places the organism in Eukaryota, Fungi, Ascomycota, Pneumocystomycetes, Pneumocystales, Pneumocystaceae.